Molecule: transfer RNA, 90 nt
Filed under: Candidatus Levybacteria bacterium CG_4_10_14_0_8_um_filter_35_23
Lineage: Bacteria; Candidatus Levyibacteriota
Also listed under: 3 other names
Description: tRNA-Ser
Rfam family: tRNA
About the family: Transfer RNA (tRNA) molecules are approximately 80 nucleotides in length.
Source: RNAcentral
GGAGGGAUGCGAGAGUGGCUUAAUCGGUACGCUUGGAAAGCGUAUGUCGUCGUAAGAUGACCGGGAGUUCGAAUCUCCCUCCCUCCGCAA